This 90-nucleotide transfer RNA is filed under the name Planctomycetaceae bacterium. Its description in RNAcentral is "tRNA-Ser". It matches the Rfam family "tRNA". From Rfam's summary of the family: Transfer RNA (tRNA) molecules are approximately 80 nucleotides in length. Their secondary structure includes four short double-helical elements and three loops (D, anti-codon, and T loops). The record is from RNAcentral. Lineage: Bacteria; Pseudomonadati; Planctomycetota; Planctomycetia; Planctomycetales; Planctomycetaceae.
GGAAUGGAGCCGGAUACGGUUGGCCGGGCCGCAUUGCUAAUGCGCGCUCCCCUCAUUGAGGGGGUGUGAGUUCGAAUCUCACCCUUUCCG